Molecule: long non-coding RNA, 427 nt
Filed under: Sinocyclocheilus grahami
Lineage: Eukaryota; Metazoa; Chordata; Actinopteri; Cypriniformes; Cyprinidae
Description: lncRNA (ENSSGRG00000045127.1)
Source: RNAcentral
GAGAGAUCAAGCCUUGAGUCCGCCUUUUGAUGCAGUCUCCAUGGAAGCAACAUGGACGUCUGUUCACUGAAAUUCUGGAGUUUGCUGAUGACGGAUAUAAGGCUAAUAUGACAAACUGAAACACACUUGUGACAUACUCCAAAACAAUGAAGACAACGGGAUUUAGAAGGCUCCGGGGGUGAUCCACACAUGGAUGACCAAUAGAAACGAAGGCCGUUAACCUUUCUGCUAACAGAACUCACCUUCAAACAACACAGAAGAUGCCCGCAUAUCUCUACUGCCACUUCUCAUUUACGUCUGGCUGAUUCACAGUGAACCGCAACAGUGGCCUUUUUUGGGUAAAUUCUGCAGAUUCACAUUUAAUAUGAAGAAAGCAAUACGAAGAGAACUGAACUGUUGGACAUGAGCUGAUCAUCUAUGACACAAC